RNAcentral lists this ribosomal RNA (301 nucleotides) under uncultured bacterium. RNAcentral describes it as "partial 16S ribosomal RNA". It matches the Rfam family "Bacterial small subunit ribosomal RNA", at positions 509 to 809 of the family's 1533-position model. The record is from RNAcentral.
CAGCAGCCGCGGUAAUACGAAGGGUGCAAGCGUUAAUCGGAAUUACUGGGCGUAAAGCGUGCGUAGGCGGUUUGUUAAGUCUGUUGUGAAAUCCCCGGGCUCAACCUGGGAAUGGCAAUGGAUACUGGCAAGCUAGAGUGUGUCAGAGGAUGGUGGAAUUCCCGGUGUAGCGGUGAAAUGCGUAGGGAUCGGGAGGAACAUCAGUGGCGAAGGCGGCCAUCUGGGACAACACUGACGCUGAGGCACGAAAGCGUGGGGAGCAAACAGGAUUAGAUACCCGCGUAGUCCCUGUCUCUUAUAA